UUUCAAACAUUUGUCUGAGUUACUGCAUCUAUUAUCUAAUAUCAGUAUUAUAUCAAUUAUGUUUAAUUCUUUGUAACUUUUGCCGCACUUUUUCUUCAUAGCUAUCGUAGCUUUCCGGUAUACUUCGUUUUACUUCGGUUCGAUUGUCAGUCCCUUCGGUACAAUUCAGUUUAGCUGUUAGUCCCUUCGGUAUAUUUCGUUUUGCUUCGGUUCACUUCGGUUGAUCGCAUUUACCUCAUACUACAGUGGAGGCGUAACUGAACGUACAUUAGACAGUAAUGUUCCAUCUGUGCGAUGUCAACGAUUGCUACAGACCGUGACAUAGUGAUUCAGAAACUCGGGAAAGAUUCGUUUUUUCAUUACUCGAAAAUAUGCAAAUGGAUAUAACGGAAAAGAGUUAACGACUUCAAGGAAACUAAUCAUCAUUUUCACCAAGAUACCACCAGGAAGAGUGGACCUCCAUCCAUUCCCCAUAAAUGGCGCACCUUCUCGAGGAAACGAGUAUCCAGUUAACCGUUCUGGCAUUACGAACUUGUUACGUAGAGUUUUAUAAAUGCGAAUCAUCUUUGUUA
Molecule: long non-coding RNA, 572 nt
Organism: Apis dorsata (giant honeybee)
Lineage: Eukaryota; Metazoa; Arthropoda; Insecta; Hymenoptera; Apidae
Exons: 3
Source: RefSeq, a predicted model, not a curated record